GCUGUGGCUUUGGUGUAUGCUGCUGCAGACUCCUCCAAAGAUUCAGACACAUUGUUCACUGGUGAUAUAAAACACAACGGUUCUUGUUGUGACAAAAAACAUUCUCUGCACAAUUCUGGACCCAGGAUGGCACUCUGUCACUCACAGUGGAGGUCUCAAGGCUGCUGCAGAUCAUUGGCAGAACAGAGCCGAUUAAGCUACCUAAACAUGGAAGGCUACAAUUACAGUGAGAUAAUACAUAGUAUGUUUCAGUGAGCGCCCACUCAAUCCACUGACAGUAAAAAGAUAUUUAGAAUUUCAUAGCUGCUGCUUGCAGGCCCCAAAAUAAAGGACUACUGACAGUCAUAUUAACACACCAACCUUGGUUCAUGAUCAGUUAACUAACCAAAUAAAGGAAAUGCCAUUCCUUAUAGUCAUAGCCUCAUUUGUCCAAACCAAGUCAUGUCAUAUUCUUACAUUUGUAGUAUAUUAUUCCCUAAAAACAAGCAGAUGAUAAUUUGAAU
Molecule: long non-coding RNA, 503 nt
Organism: Monopterus albus (swamp eel)
Lineage: Eukaryota; Metazoa; Chordata; Actinopteri; Synbranchiformes; Synbranchidae
Exons: 2
Source: RefSeq, a predicted model, not a curated record